Molecule: ribosomal RNA, 279 nt
Filed under: uncultured bacterium
Lineage: Bacteria
Description: partial 16S ribosomal RNA
Rfam family: Bacterial small subunit ribosomal RNA
Source: RNAcentral
UGCCAGCCGCCGCGGUAAUACGGAGGGGGUUAGCGUUGUUCGGAAUUACUGGGCGUAAAGCGCGCGUAGGCGGAUUGGAAAGUUAGAGGUGAAAUCCCGGGGCUCAACCUCGGAACUGCCUUUGAUACUGUCGAUCUAGAGUCUGUGAGAGGGUGGCGGAAUACCCAGUGUAGAGGUGAAAUUCGUAGAUAUUGGGUAGAACACCAGUGGCGAAGGCGGCCACCUGGCACAGUACUGACGCUGAGGCGCGAAAGCGUGGGGAGCAAACAGGAUUAGAUA